AUAUCAGUCAUGCAUAGCAUAUCAAUAAGCGGAGGAAAAGAAACUAACAAGGAUUCCCUUAGUAACGGCGAGUGAAGUGGGAAGAGCUCAAAUUUGAAAUCUUCAAGGUUCUACCUUGACGAAUUGUAGUUUAUAGAAGUGUUUUCUGUUAGUAGAGUGGCAAAAGUUCUUUGGAAUAGGACAUCAUAGAGGGUGGGAAUCCCGUAUUUGGUCAUUCCUCCUAGCGUUGUGAUACACUUUCAACGAGUCGGAUUGUUUGGGAAUGCAGUCCAAAAUGGGUGGUAAAUUUCAUCUAAAGCUAAAUAUUGGCGAGAGACCGAUAGCGAACAAGUACCGUGAGGGAAAGAUGAAAAGAACUUUGAAAAGAGAGUUAAACAGUACGUGAAAUUGUCAAAAGGGAAGCGUUUGACACCAGUGUUGUUUUUCCGAAAAUCAAUUACGAAUGUUUUAUUUUUGAGGAGUUAUGACUUCAUCGGCUUGCUCCUUUCUUUACUGAAACUUUCUUAAUGCACUUUUCGGUUAACAAGUCAACAUCAAUUUCUUUUGUUGUAAAAGGGUAUGAGGAAGGUGGCUUUCUUUUCGGAGAAAGUGUUUAUAGCCUUUGAUCUCUGCAACCGGAGAGAUUGAGGUCUGCAGCGUAGAUCCUUCGGGGUUAGAGACGUUUGUGCUAAGCUAUAGCUCUUUAUAGACAACUUGUUGACUAUAAUCAAUCCUGUAACUUACUCGCUUAUGCUAUUAUACCUACGCUUAGGAUGUUGACGCGCGUGUGUGCGUG
RNAcentral lists this ribosomal RNA (775 nucleotides) under uncultured Neocallimastigales. RNAcentral describes it as "partial large subunit ribosomal RNA". It matches the Rfam family "Eukaryotic large subunit ribosomal RNA", at positions 22 to 639 of the family's 3401-position model. The record is from RNAcentral. Lineage: Eukaryota; Fungi; Neocallimastigomycota; Neocallimastigomycetes; Neocallimastigales.